Molecule: ribosomal RNA, 109 nt
Filed under: Pteropus alecto (black flying fox)
Lineage: Eukaryota; Metazoa; Chordata; Mammalia; Chiroptera; Pteropodidae
Source: RNAcentral
GUCUAUGGCCAUGCUACCCUGAACAUACCCAGUCCCGUCUGAUCUCAAAAGCUAAGCAGGGUUAGUACUUGGAUGAGAGACCACCUAGGAAGACCAGGUGCUGUAAGCA